UAAUAAGUGUUUUAUGGCACUUUUUUAAAUCCAUAUCCACCUUGUGUGCAAUGUCAGUCGAUCUUCUUCAUGGAGAUCGACCAAACAUCAACCUUUAUCUUUUUAACAUCUUUGUCUGAAAAAUAUUAUGAAUAAACAAUUCAAAAUA
RNAcentral lists this unclassified non-coding RNA (148 nucleotides) under soil metagenome. RNAcentral describes it as "partial internal transcribed spacer 1". The record is from RNAcentral.